This is a ribosomal RNA of 803 nucleotides. The stretch from base 230 to 384 matches the Rfam family "5.8S ribosomal RNA".
CCACACCUAAAAAACUUUCCACGUGAACCGUUUCAACCCAAUAGUUGGGGGUCUUAUUUGGCGGCGGCUGCUGGCUUAAUUGUUGGCGGCUGCUGCUGAGUGAGCCCUAUCAAAAAAAAAGGGAAACGUUGGGGUUUCGCCCGGAUUUAGUAUUUUUUUUUCUUUUAAACCCAUUCCUUAAUACUGAAUAUACUGUGGGGACGAAAGUCUCUGCUUUUAACUAGAUAGCAACUUUCAGCAGUGGAUGUCUAGGCUCGCACAUCGAUGAAGAACGCUGCGAACUGCGAUACGUAAUGCGAAUUGCAGGAUUCAGUGAGUCAUCGAAAUUUUGAACGCAUAUUGCACUUCCGGGUUAGUCCUGGAAGUAUGCCUGUAUCAGUGUCCGUACAUUAAACUUGACUUUCUUCCUUCCGUGUAGUCGGUGGAGGAGAUGUCAGAUGUGAAGUGUCUUGCGAUUGGUCUUCGGACCGGCUGCGAGUCCUUUUAAAUGUACUAAACUGAACUUCUCUUUGCUCGAAAAGUGGUGGCGUUGCUGGUUGUGAAGGCUGCUAUUGUGGCAAAUUGGCGACUGGUUUGUCUGCUGCGGCAUUAAUGGAAGAGUGUUCGAUUCGUGGUAUGGUUGGCUUCGGCUGAACAAUGCACUUAUUGGACGUUUUUCCUGCUGUGGCGUGAUGGACUGGUGAACCAUAGCUCGGUGGCUUGGCUUUUGAAUUGGCUUUGCUGUUGCGAAGUAGGGUGGCAGCUUCGGUUGUCGAGGGUCGAUCCAUUUGGGAACUUAAUGUGUACUUCGGUAUGCAUCUCAA